This is a non-coding RNA of Desarmillaria tabescens, 85 nucleotides long. NCBI's taxonomy places the organism in Eukaryota, Fungi, Basidiomycota, Agaricomycetes, Agaricales, Physalacriaceae. The record is from the annotation of a RefSeq genome assembly.
GACUCCAUAGCUAAGUGGUUAUAGCAUGAGAUUGCAGCUGUGUAGCACUAUCUCGGGGUCGCGUGUUCGAGUCACGCUGGGGUCU